GGGUUACUGGCACUGGUUGCACCAGAGGUGAACCCAUCGUUUUGGUACGACAUCCUGAAGUCGGAGCUGCUUUAACUUCAGUACAAAUCUUUGUUGAUGCUGUUCCGGAUAGAUCACUUCGUGUGGAGUUGAGCCCAACCGUAUCUUUUGUUCCACCGGCGACUGCUGCGGCAGAGGCUCUUAGACCGACGCAGGGUAAUGCAACGCCGCGCGAUGGCGCAAUCC
This 225-nucleotide unclassified non-coding RNA is filed under the name Hevea brasiliensis (rubber tree). Lineage: Eukaryota; Viridiplantae; Streptophyta; Magnoliopsida; Malpighiales; Euphorbiaceae. The record is from RNAcentral.